GGCGAACGCUGGCGGCGUGCUUAACACAUGCAAGUCGAACGGAAAGGCCCUGCUUUUGUGGGGUGCUCGAGUGGCGAACGGGUGAGUAACACGUGAGUAACCUGCCCUUGACUUUGGGAUAACUUCAGGAAACUGGGGCUAAUACCGGAUAGGAGCUCCUGCUGCAUGGUGGGGGUUGGAAAGUUUCGGCGGUUGGGGAUGGACUCGCGGCUUAUCAGCUUGUUGGUGGGGUAGUGGCUUACCAAGGCUUUGACGGGUAGCCGGCCUGAGAGGGUGACCGGCCACAUUGGGACUGAGAUACGGCCCAGACUCCUACGGGAGGCAGCAGUGGGGAAUAUUGCACAAUGGGCGGAAGCCUGAUGCAGCAACGCCGCGUGCGGGAUGACGGCCUUCGGGUUGUAAACCGCUUUCGCCUGUGACGAAGCGUGAGUGGCGGUAAUGGGUAAAGAAGCACCGGCUAACUACGUG
RNAcentral lists this ribosomal RNA (468 nucleotides) under uncultured bacterium. RNAcentral's name for it is "partial 16S ribosomal RNA". It matches the Rfam family "Bacterial small subunit ribosomal RNA", at positions 28 to 507 of the family's 1533-position model. The record is from RNAcentral.